GACAUCACACAUAUUAUCUAAGUCCCACAUCGGAAGUUUUAUAGUGAAUGUUAUGGAGCAUGAGUUAUAAAAGAGAAUUGUGUGAUUCAUUGCAACAUACUUACCUGGAUGGGGUCAAUGGGUGAUCAAAAAGGCCCAUGGCCUAGGCAAGUGACCUUCAUUGCACUUUGAAGGGGUGCUAGCCUAAGGUCUACCCAAGUGGUGGAGCCUACAUCAUAAUAUGUUGUGGUUGGGGCUUGCGUUCGCGCGGCCCCUCC
RNAcentral lists this long non-coding RNA (257 nucleotides) under Medicago truncatula (barrel medic). RNAcentral's name for it is "lncRNA gene29452". The stretch from base 97 to 257 matches the Rfam family "U1 spliceosomal RNA". From Rfam's summary of the family: U1 is a small nuclear RNA (snRNA) component of the spliceosome (involved in pre-mRNA splicing). Its 5' end forms complementary base pairs with the 5' splice junction, thus defining the 5' donor site of an intron. Lineage: Eukaryota; Viridiplantae; Streptophyta; Magnoliopsida; Fabales; Fabaceae. The record is from RNAcentral.